GAUGAAGAACGUAGCGAAAUGCGAUAAGUAGUGUGAAUUGCAGAAUUCAGUGAAUCAUCGAAUCUUUGAACGCACAUUGCGCCCCUUGGUAUUCCAUGGGGCAUGCCUGUUCGAGCGUCAUUUGUACCCUCAAGCCUAGCUUGGUGUUGGGUGUUUGUCUCGCCUCUGCGUGUAGACUCGCCUCAAAACAAUUGGCAGCCGGCGUAUUGAUUUCGGAGCGCAGUACAUCUCGCGCUUUGCACUCAUAACGACGACGUCCAAAAGUACAUUUUUACACUCUUGACCUCAGAUCAGGUAGGGAUACCCGCUGAACUUAAGCAUAUCAAUAAGCGGAGGA
Molecule: unclassified non-coding RNA, 337 nt
Filed under: soil metagenome
Description: partial contains 5.8S ribosomal RNA, internal transcribed spacer 2, and large subunit ribosomal RNA
Rfam family: 5.8S ribosomal RNA (bases 1-120)
Source: RNAcentral